Molecule: transfer RNA, 75 nt
Filed under: Mesomycoplasma hyopneumoniae
Lineage: Bacteria; Bacillati; Mycoplasmatota; Mycoplasmoidales; Metamycoplasmataceae
Also listed under: 11 other names
Description: Mycoplasma hyopneumoniae tRNA-Cys(gca)
Rfam family: tRNA
About the family: Transfer RNA (tRNA) molecules are approximately 80 nucleotides in length. Their secondary structure includes four short double-helical elements and three loops (D, anti-codon, and T loops).
Source: RNAcentral
GGCACCAUAGCCAAAUGGUAAGGCAUAGGUCUGCAACACCUUGAUGUACCGGUUCGAGUCCGGUUGGUGCCUCCA